AUGCAGCAUAUCUGUCCCAUCCACGCUGUGUGUUUGGAUGUAUUUGAAGAAUGCAGGGGAUCCAGCCUUUCUCGUCUCAGAGGGCACUGUAACCACUGGAUUCUGGAGGUACCCUUCCUCUCAGCCUUUCCUACUGAAGCCAUGUCAGUGUGCAGUGGAGAAUUUGGCAGUGCUGGCGUGGUGAGGAAGAAUCAUCCUGGGAUAAUUUAUUUCUGUCUCACGUCCAAAUCCAAAAUUAUUUUAUUGCCUGGCAUACUUCCAGAACACCAUGGACUCACAAAACUCUGUGCUGCAUGAUGAUACAAGAUCAAGGGGUGUACUGAUACCCAGUGAUGAUAUGGCAUUGUCUUGUUCUUGAAAGAAAUUGAGAAUGGCACUGUUCAUGAUGUCUGAACUGUUACAGCAUCUCUGUAAAUUGUAAGAAUGGUUCAGUGAAAUUGGAAGAAGAUGUAACUGGAAUGAG
RNAcentral lists this long non-coding RNA (463 nucleotides) under Anser cygnoides (Swan goose). RNAcentral's name for it is "lncRNA (ENSACDG00005005289.1)". Lineage: Eukaryota; Metazoa; Chordata; Aves; Anseriformes; Anatidae. The record is from RNAcentral.